CAAAGGAGCAAUCCGCUGAAAGAUGGGCUCGCGUCCGAUUAGGUAGUUGGUGAGGUAACGGCCCACCAAGCCGACGAUCGGUAGCCGGACUGAGAGGUUGGACGGCCACAUUGGGACUGAGACACGGCCCAGACUCCUACGGGAGGCAGCAGUAAGGGAUAUUGGUCAAUGGGGGAAACCCUGAACCAGCAACGCCGCGUGAGGGAAGACGGUUUUCGGAUUGUAAACCUCUGUCCUCUGUGAAGAUGAUGACGGUAGCAGAGGAGGAAGCUCCGGCUAACUACGUGCCAGCAGCCGCGGUAAUACGUAGGGAGCGAGCGUUGUCCGGAUUUACUGGGUGUAAAGGGUGCGUAGGCGGCUGUGCAAGUCAGUAGUGAAAUCCAUGGGCUCAACCCAUGAACUGCUAUUGAAACUGCACAGCUUGAGUGAAGUAGAGGUAGGCGGAAUUCCCGGUGUAGCGGUGAAAUGCGUAGAGAUCGGGAGGAACACCAGUGGCGAAGGCGGCCUACUGGGCUUUAACUGACGCUGAGGCACGAAAGCGUGGGUAGCAAACAGGAUUAGAUACCCUGGUAGUCCACGCUGUAAACGAUGAUUACUAGGUGUGGGGGGACUGAACCCUUCC
This 622-nucleotide ribosomal RNA is filed under the name uncultured bacterium. RNAcentral's name for it is "bacterial SSU rRNA". It matches the Rfam family "Bacterial small subunit ribosomal RNA", at positions 202 to 842 of the family's 1533-position model. The record is from RNAcentral.